Molecule: long non-coding RNA, 1681 nt
Filed under: Crocodylus porosus (Australian saltwater crocodile)
Lineage: Eukaryota; Metazoa; Chordata; Crocodylia; Crocodylidae
Description: lncRNA (ENSCPRG00005007903.1)
Source: RNAcentral
GCAAAUGGUACAGCUGGUGUGGAAAAGAGGAGCUGAAGCAUCUUGCCAGACAUGUAGAACAAAAAAAUCUUCCUAAUAUUAUCUGGGUAGAAAUUGGGAAAUUUCCCACUCCUUCUCACAUGGUCUGUGGGUCCCAAGUGGGUUGAGCAGGGAGACAGCCUUGCAAUGGGAUGCUUAGAGGACUCUGCUUCCUCCAGGACUUCGGAGGGAUUAUAAGGUCAUCCCUGCCAUGAGCCCAGCACAUAUCCUUGCCUUUGCCUGCCUUCCCUUUCCCUCCUCCCAGUGUCUUGCAGCUCCCCACCAGAGGUGACCAAUGCCCGUAUGUUCGGCAAACCAAAGCAACGCUACGAGAUCAGCUCCAUCGUGCGGUACCGGUGCCUGGAGGGCUUCACCCAGCGCCACUCACCCAUUAUCCGGUGCCAGGAGGAGGGGAUGUGGGAGCAUCCCCAGCUUGCUUGCCUGCCAAGUGUGACUCAAACCCCUGAGGACUGAGCCUGGAUGCAGGAGGGAAGACCUCACUUCCCAGGGCAUUGUCACUGGGGCUGGUUGCAAACCACGCGGGGAAAGCUUCAGCCCCGCAGCCUGGGCACCAGCCCACACCGCAGCGAUGCCUUCCACCCCCUGUGCGUUUGGUUGAUAUCUGUAUAAAGAAAAAAGUCUAGUAACUAAAGAUUCCCUUUUAAAAAAAAAAAAGAAAAAAAAAUCAACAGCAACAUAAAACGUAGCUUUUCACUUUGCGCAAAGAGUAUUGUGCCUCCCAAACUGUAACGGCUGCUGGAGACGAGGAUGGUGCAACCUCUGACCCCUGAACAGAGCUGUGUGAUGGUGUAUGGAGUCAAUCUCGCCAGCCAGCGGACGUAUGCACUUCAUACCUUGGCAGUCAGCUCCUUGACGCUUUGGUUGGUUGGAAUUGAUUUGGCUCUGUAGAAAAAUAGAUCACACUUCCCAUAUAAAUAUGGGCCCAGUUUAGAAAUAAGCCAAGGGAAGGGGUAUUCCCAACCCUCCCCAUCCCCCAGUGCUGGAGGUGCAAAGCAGGGACAGUGCUAGACACUGAGGUCAGCUCUUCACCAGCUGGAGAGGCUCAGCAUGUCUUUCCCAUGCCUGAUUAGACCCCUUUACACUUCCAGACCAUCCUAGAGGGCCCCAAGCUUCAUUAAAAUCCACUUCCCUGGUGGAAAGGUAGGGAAAGCAUAUGCCUGGGAUAGCGAAGCCAGCCAAACCCCUGGGGCCCAUGCAGCCAGCAGCAGGGGAUGGACUAGAUGGCUUCUCAAGGCCCCUUCCAGCCCUGUUUUCUCAGGGUUGGCAUAGCUCAUGCCAGCCAGAGGCUUAGAAAGCUCUGUCGCUCAGCUUCUACCAGCGCAGGCCACAUCUCUGCUAGACAGCUUCCCCAAUAGAUGCUCGAUAGGACAGACUCACCUACCCCAUUGCUCUCUGAGUAGGGGUAGGUAGGUCAAGAGAUGGUCCAGGGCCAGCCCAGAUGAGGCACAUCAGUUCCAGUAGCCAACAGCCCAGGAGUCAAGGGCAUGGCUAGCAUCUGGUCCAGAUGAUGGGGACCGCCCGCUCCAUCACGUCCAAAAAACCCCAUAUUCCUCCACCCCUUGUUCAAAGUGAAUGACUUUUUUUUUUACGCUGUUGCUGAUAUUAAAAUAAAUAAACUGAUGGAGAAGACCGUGGUUUGCUU